Molecule: ribosomal RNA, 273 nt
Filed under: uncultured bacterium
Lineage: Bacteria
Description: partial 16S ribosomal RNA
Rfam family: Bacterial small subunit ribosomal RNA
Source: RNAcentral
GGUGGUACAGGAUGGGCCCGCGUCUGAUUAGGUAGUUGGUGGGGCAGCGGCCUACCAAGCCGACGAUCAGUAGCCGACCUGAGAGGGUGACCGGCCACAUUGGGACUGAGACACGGCCCAAACUCCUACGGGAGGCAGCAGUAGGGAAUCUUCGGCAAUGGACGAAAGUCUGACCGAGCAACGCCGCGUGAGUGAAGAAGGUUUUCGGGUUGUAAAGCUCUGUCUUCAGGGACGAUAAUGACGGUACCUGAGGAGGAAGCCACGGCUAACUAC